GCUUACACAUGCAAGUCGAGGGGAAACGACGGGGAAGCUUGCUUCCCCGGGCGUCGACCGGCGCACGGGUGAGUAACGCGUAUCCAACCUGCCUCUGACUGAGGGAUAACCCGUCGAAAGUCGGCCUAAUACCUCAUGGUAUCGUCUGCGGGCAUCCAACGACGAUUAAAGAUUUCAUCGGUCAGGGAUGGGGAUGCGUCUGAUUAGCUUGUUGGCGGGGUAACGGCCCACCAAGGCUACGAUCAGUAGGGGUUCUGAGAGGAAGGUCCCCCACAUUGGAACUGAGACACGGUCCAAACUCCUACGGGAGGCAGCAGUGAGGAAUAUUGGUCAAUGGGCGAGAGCCUGAACCAGCCAAGUAGCGUGCAGGAAGACGGCCCUAUGGGUUGUAAACUGCUUCUAUGCGGGGAUAAAGUGAGGGACGUGUCCCUCAUUGCAGGUACCGCAUGAAUAAGGACCGGCUAAUUCCGUGCCAGCAGCCGCGGUAAUACGGAAGGUCCUGGCGUUAUCCGGAUUUAUUGGGUUUAAAGGGAGCGUAGGCCGUGGAUUAAGCGUGUUGUGAAAUGCAGGUGCUCAACGUCUGCACUGCAGCGCGAACUGGUCCACUUGAGUGUGCGCAACGCAGGCGGAAUUCGUCGUGUAGCGGUGAAAUGCUUAGAUAUGACGAAGAACUCCGAUUGCGAAGGCAGCUUGCGGGAGCACAACUGACGCUGAAGCUCGAAAGUGCGGGUAUCGAACAGGAUUAGAUACCCUGGUAGUCCGCACGGUAAACGAUGGAUGCCCGUUGUCAGGCUGUUUCAGCCUGGUGACCAAGCGAAAGCAUUAAGCAUCCCACCUGGGGAGUACGCCGGCAACGGUGAAACUCAAAGGAAUUGACGGGGGCCCGCACAAGCGGAGGAACAUGUGGUUUAAUUCGAUGAUACCCGAGGAACC
Molecule: ribosomal RNA, 933 nt
Filed under: uncultured bacterium
Lineage: Bacteria
Description: bacterial SSU rRNA
Rfam family: Bacterial small subunit ribosomal RNA
Source: RNAcentral